This is a long non-coding RNA of Hyaena hyaena (striped hyena), 2419 nucleotides long. RefSeq lists it as uncharacterized. The record is from RefSeq and is a predicted model, not a curated record. Lineage: Eukaryota; Metazoa; Chordata; Mammalia; Carnivora; Hyaenidae. The transcript is spliced from 2 exons.
UCACCUUCGAAGGAGAAAGAAUUCAAAAUGAAGCUGAAACUGGAACAAACUGAGGAAAGAGAAGAAAACCUACAAUCCAAGAGGCAACAAAACUGCGAGGCUGUGCUCACACGUGAGACGCCUGCAGUGAAAGUGCAGGAGAAAAACCAUUAUCACCAUUGAAUCAAUUCGACCUCUGACAAAUCAACAAUGGACACAAAGACCCUCAGAAACAAGAAGUGGGAAACCAUGAAGCCAAGAGCACGUAAGAGCCCAGUCAGUCACUGAAAGAGUAAGAUGUGGGCAGCAGAGUGGGGUUCAACCAAAGGCACCCUGUUCCCCGCAAGCCACAUUGGCUCAGACUGUUCCAGAACCACGCUGGACAAAGGCUACCAAAGCGGCCACCCUGGGUGGAACGCCAAAGCUGAGGAGUUGAAACAUCAUUUCUUUCCUUCCAGAAGUAGGGCCGGCAGGAGAGCCUGCCUGCCUGGGUCGCAGCAGCCGCCCGGCCCGGGGUCAUCACUGCCUCCGAAUGCGGCUGAGUGCCUGCUAACAGGGACGGCCCCACGGCCGCCCAGGACCCUUCAGGAAGUCCUCUGGAUGUGACCCCAGUGCCAGGGGACGUACCUCAGGAAACCCCCUCACCUCCUGGCUAAGUCCCAACUGCGCUUUCCUUCGUCCCGCUGCUCAACCCCUGUUUUGUGCCCUUACAACUUGAGCUGUUUCCAAAAUCAAACCUGCUCAUAAUGGACACAGUUCUUUGGUUCUAGAAAAUUCCAAAAGAAGUCCUCUGCAGGAGAUUUCAAAAGCUCUUUCUCCUUAGUUCAGAAUGACAGAUCUCAUUUUGCCAGUCUCUGGAAUUUCCAGGUGCGUGUGGAUUCCCCAUACAUACGCCUAUUAAAUUUGCUUUUCUCCUCUUAACCUGUCUCAUAAGCAGAAGGACCCUUGAGGGGACAGGAGUUCUGCCCCCGCCAGCGGCCGUCCCAGGGCAGGAGAAGAGCAGCUAAGGGUUUACACCCUGGAGGCGUCCUGGACUCCGGUCCAUCUGUGCCGGGCAUCAAGGGGACCUUGGGCAGGUUGCCCAACGCUUCGCAGCUGCCGCCCACCUGUGAAGUUCUGAUCAAAACCGCGUGCCUCUGCUGUGAGCAGCACAAGGAGCUUCGUGGAGCCGUUUCCAUAAACGCAGCUGCUGCCGUGAGGACGUCAGGUCAGCACACACUCGGGAGACCAGGGCGCCUGUCACCCCGGCACCUGCGUCCACACGGCACAAGCGAGACCGUCCUCUUUGGCCAAGCCCAGCGCAGCUGCGUCCGCCGGAAGUGCAGGCCGAGUUUCAGUGUCGCGGAGUUUAGUGUGGUGACAGGUUUAGUAUGACCCGCCGGCUGACGCGCUGCGUGGAAACUUAGGACUCAUCACCUGCGGUUUCCCCCAAACACACACGGUUACCACAAUGUGAGUUCCCAGCUCUUUUCUACAGCGAGUAACUCAAGUGUUAACUUUUCAAUAUUUUUUCUAACAUGAGUAAGGGGACGACGUUUAUCCCCUUGUGAGGAGAGACACUGGGGGUUCUACCGGCGAGGGCCAGACGCCCGCCGCGCCCUCCGGCCCACCCGGCACGGAGACCUGCCCCAGGAGUUCACCGUGGAGCCCACGGAUGCCACACGGGCAACACGAAGGCCACAACAAACCCGCAGCGAUGUGGUUUCCGGGUGGGCGGGCCGGGGCCCGGCGCCCUACCUGCCUCUGAAGGGCAAGUUCGCCGUCCAGCUCCUCGAGCUUCCUCUCCAGCCUCCACUUCAGGUGUUCAUACUGUUCCCGCCGCUGCUCCAUCUCCCCGUUCUUGUCACUAUGCAAACAAGGCAGUGUCAACACACGCACGGACACAAGAGGGCCCGGGCCGCACUGCGAGCGUGACUGCCUGCACAGGCAGCCUGGGACGGGGUCCGGAGGCGCACAGCACGAUGCCGAAAGCGUCCAGGACACAAGCCAAAGUCGCUGGUCACACCGAGGACCAGGAAGGGAAGGAGCAGUCAGCAGGAGCAGACGCCAAGGUGACGCAGACGUCCGAGUCUCUCAUAAGGGCUGUGAAGCGGCCGUUAUUUAAAAUGCUUCAACAAGCAGCUUAGUUCAGCCUUAGAAAAACUUAGGAAGAAUCCAACAGGAAUUGAGAACUAAGAGGCACCAUAACCGACAGUUCACCGGGCGGCUCAACGGCCGAGUGAACAGAACAUGAUAGAGACAAGAAUCUAUGAACUUGAAACCAAAACAACAGAAAUUGCCCCAUCAAAUAACCGAGAGACACAGGAGAAAAUGAGCAGAGCCCAGGGAACGAGGGACAGCCACAAAGGAGGAGUGGUGGUGCCACUGAGUCCCAGAUAGAGGAAGAGAGGAGGGCCGAAAUGUACUGACAGAAGCCAUGGCAGAAAAUUUCCCAGAUUUG